Molecule: long non-coding RNA, 991 nt
Filed under: Sorghum bicolor (sorghum)
Lineage: Eukaryota; Viridiplantae; Streptophyta; Magnoliopsida; Poales; Poaceae
Description: long non-coding RNA (SBIC_LNC011726)
Source: RNAcentral
AGGCUUCUUCUCCCUUGAUGGAACAAUGAAUUAGGGUUGAGAGGCUCCCUCCUCCAGGGGCCAGGGGGUCUGGUUUUAUAGUCCCUUCAAGUGAAUAUGGGCCAUUGGAUCAAACCGACAUAGAUUGUAUGGUUUAGAUUCAUCCUUUAGGUCGGUGGAGAUCUCCCGCAAAGCAGAGUCCUGAUUGGACUCCUGGAGGGGGCGGGCGCCCAGUAGGACAGGGCGGGCGCCCUGCCUCUGGCCCCGUUUCGCCUCCGCUUCGGUCUCGUGGCUUCUGGAGUCUUCUAGAUGUAAGAUAAUUGCGCAGCACGUUAAUAUCUUUACGUAAUCCCGACAUGUGGGCCUUUCUUCCAUAUUUCCUGAUAACCCCCUGCAGAAAUAGACAAACACCAAAACUCAUGGAAUUCUGUCAGAUAAAACCCAAGUCUAGAUCUUGAUUUCAUUUGGAUCCUUUUCUUUAUUUAUUUGAUAAUUAAAUUUGAUACUUAAGGACCGUCAACAACCAUCUCCUUCAUCUUGGCUUUGUCGUUCUCCCUUUGUAAGUCCAUCCAGGUCUACAGAGAAUUGAUAGCCGAAUGAAUCACAACAUCAGGUGUACUAGGGAAAUGUUUCUCGAUGGCCAUCUUAUUUAUAUUCUUCCAAAUCGUCCAUCACUACUACAAAAAAUCUUAACUGUGACGGGCAUUUUGGAUUUUAGGAGGCGGGCAAAAGAAACGUCUCCGAUGAAAGGUCACUAUAAAUCGACCAUUAUACGAGGCGGUUUCAUGCCUGCCUUGGUUAAUCAAAUAAAAAAAUUUAAAAAAAAAGAAAAAACCCUAAAUGAGCCCGUCAAGCCCAUCUAGGGCCCACCGAGCCCAUCCGGGUAGCUGCUCGCGGAUGCGCCUGAGGAGGAGGAUCCGCGCCGCCGCUGGAUCCGCGUGGGGAGAGCUACCGCAUGGGGAGAGCCGCUGGAUCCGCGCCGCCGCUGAAUCCGCGUGGGGAGAGCGACCGC